GAGCUAGAGAAGAUGAAGGAGGUAGCAGUACAGGAGGAGCUACUGGUAGAGAUGAAGAUGUAUUGGUUGUUCAACAAAAGAAUGAUAAAUUACGUAAAGAAAAUGAAGAACUCAAACAAAAACUAGCACAAUAUGAAUCUGUCAGUAAGUUUAAAGGGGAGACUGAAGCUGAUAAAAAGGAAAAUGAAGCUAAAGAAGCUGGGAAGCAACACUCAAGACCUCACAGAACUCCAAGAUCAAAACUAUGUAUUAUACUUUAAAUUCAUUGAUGCUGUACCCAACUAAUUAUUAAUACCAGCAAAUGCAUAGUUCACAAAUUGUAUGGAUUUUUUGUUUGUGUAAAAAGUCAUGUUAACACUCAAUGUUAA
Amphimedon queenslandica is the source of this 368-nucleotide long non-coding RNA. RefSeq lists it as uncharacterized. The record is from RefSeq and is a predicted model, not a curated record. Lineage: Eukaryota; Metazoa; Porifera; Demospongiae; Haplosclerida; Niphatidae. The transcript is spliced from 3 exons.